UAAGGAAUAUUGCUCAAUGGGAGAAAUCCUGAAGCAGCAACGCCGCGUGGAGGAUGAAGGGUCUAUGACUUGUAAACUCCUGUAAAGAAGGAAAAAAUUCCCAUUUGAUGGGAGAUGAUGGUACUUCUGGAGUAAGCCCCGGCUAACUACGUGCCAGCAGCCGCGGUAAUACGUAGGGGGCAAGCGGUGUCCGGAUUUACUGGGUGUAAAGGGUGCUCAGGCGGAUUUGUAAGUCAGAGGUGAAAUCUUACAGCUUAACUGUGAAACUGCCUUUGAUACUGCAAGCCUAGAGUAUGGAAGAGAGUGAUGGAAUAUCUGGUGUAGCAGUGAAAUGCGUAGAUAUCAGAUAGAACACCAAUGGCGAAGGCAGUCACUUGGUCCAUUACUGACGCUAAAGCACGAAAGCGUGGGUAGCAAACA
RNAcentral lists this ribosomal RNA (420 nucleotides) under uncultured bacterium. Its description in RNAcentral is "bacterial SSU rRNA". It matches the Rfam family "Bacterial small subunit ribosomal RNA", at positions 355 to 774 of the family's 1533-position model. The record is from RNAcentral.